RNAcentral lists this ribosomal RNA (427 nucleotides) under uncultured bacterium. RNAcentral's name for it is "partial 16S ribosomal RNA". It matches the Rfam family "Bacterial small subunit ribosomal RNA", at positions 355 to 774 of the family's 1533-position model. The record is from RNAcentral.
UGGGGAAUAUUGCACAAUGGGCGCAAGCCUGAUGCAGCCAUGCCGCGUGUAUGAAGAAGGCCUUCGGGUUGUAAAGUACUUUCAGCGAGGAGGAAGGCGGUAAGGUUAAUAACCUUAUCGAUUGACGUUACUCGCAGAAGAAGCACCGGCUAACUCCGUGCCAGCAGCCGCGGUAAUACGGAGGGUGCAAGCGUUAAUCGGAAUUACUGGGCGUAAAGCGCACGCAGGCGGUCUGUCAAGUCGGAUGUGAAAUCCCCGGGCUCAACCUGGGAACUGCAUUCGAAACUGGCAGGCUAGAGUCUUGUAGAGGGGGGUAGAAUUCCUGGUGUAGCGGUGAAAUGCGUAGAGAUCUGGAGGAAUACCGGUGGCGAAGGCGGCCCCCUGGACAAAGACUGACGCUCAGGUGCGAAAGCGUGGGGAGCAAACA